GAGGGUACAGCUCAGUGGUAGAGUGCAUGACUAGCAUGCAUGAGGUCCAGGGUUCAAUCCCCAGUACCUCCA
Molecule: transfer RNA, 72 nt
Filed under: Camelus dromedarius (Arabian camel)
Lineage: Eukaryota; Metazoa; Chordata; Mammalia; Artiodactyla; Camelidae
Also listed under: 2 other names
Rfam family: tRNA
About the family: Transfer RNA (tRNA) molecules are approximately 80 nucleotides in length.
Source: Rfam by way of RNAcentral